Molecule: ribosomal RNA, 449 nt
Filed under: uncultured bacterium
Lineage: Bacteria
Description: partial 16S ribosomal RNA
Rfam family: Bacterial small subunit ribosomal RNA
Source: RNAcentral
AACGAACGCUGGCGGCAUGCCUAAUACAUGCAAGUCGAACGAUCACUUCGGUGGUAGUGGCGCACGGGUGUGUAACGCGUGGGAAUCUGCCCUUGGGUUCGGAAUAACGUCGGGGAACUGACACUAAUACCGGAUGAUGACGUAAGUCCAAAGAUUUAUCGCCCAGGGAUGAGCCCGCGUAGGAUUAGCUAGUUGGUGGGGUAAAGGCCUACCAAGGCGACGAUCCUUAGCUGGUCUGAGAGGAUGAUCAGCCACACUGGGAGUGAGACACGGCCCAGACUCCUACGGGAGGCAGCAGUAGGGAAUAUUGGACAAUGGGGGCAACCCUGAUCCAGCAAUGCCGCGUGAGUGAUGAAGGCCUUAGGGUUGUAAAGCUCUUUUACCCGGGAUGAUAAUGACAGUACCGGGAGAAUAAGCCCCGGCUAACUCCGUGCCAGCAGCCGCCGUAA